RNAcentral lists this long non-coding RNA (750 nucleotides) under Rattus norvegicus (Norway rat). Its description in RNAcentral is "long non-coding RNA NONRATT017620". The record is from RNAcentral. Lineage: Eukaryota; Metazoa; Chordata; Mammalia; Rodentia; Muridae.
CCCUGAUCUUAACUGACUUCUUACUAGACAAUACUGGAAAAGACCUCCGUUCUAUUUAUUUUCGUUUUUCUGUCCUGGAACUUGCUCUGUAGACCAGGCUAGCCUCAAACCCAGUGAUUGGCCUGCCUCCGACUCCCAAUCGCUGGAAUUAAAGGUGUGCAUGCACCGCCUAGCAUGGCUUUAGAGAAGUCUUUCUAACCUCAGGAAAGGAUGAGGUGCCUUAGUCUGGCGGUUGGUUGGGCCUUCAAACUCCUGUUUGUGGAGUCGAGUGAUCUCUAAGGAAAUCAUUUUACCUAGGAGGCGACCUGCAUACUCCUGUAGGCCAUUCCUCCAUCUGAGCUGCGGUGGCCCUGAGUUGAGCGUCUCCUAAACCAGCCUUUCCUCAGUAGCUUCUCCCUCUCCUGAGCCUUCGCCUCAGCCCGUGAUGGCGACGCCUGCCCCUAAUGAGAGCUGUGCGGGUUGCUCCUCACCUGCCUGUGGUUCAAGAGAUCAGACUCUCUGGAAAGACAUUUUGGAGAAGAGCUCCAGGGAGACGCUUGGGGAAACACUGCAGUGCAGGUGGGAUGAGGCAGCCUUUGUCGGUGAGCGAGAGGAAGGGAGGGUGGACUUGCAGCCCACAGCCGACACGGGAGGGUGUGCGGCGCAGUGUAGCGCUUCAAGUGACAAAAUUAAUUGGUCCGGUCUGUUGUAAACAAAACAGCCUGCGGGAUGGUUCUGUGAGCGUCAGCUGCCUUCUCCUGUUUUUAUGGC